AUUGAACGCUGGCGGCAGGCCUAACACAUGCAAGUCGAGCGGAUGCUGGGGGCUUUCACCUGGGUUCAGCGGCGGACGGGUGGGUAAUGCCUCGGCAUCUGCCUAGUAGUGGGGGAUAACUUCCGGUAAUGGGCGCUACUCCCGCAUACGUCCAGAGUGAGUGACUGGGGGAUCUUCGGACCUCGCGUUAUCAGAUGAGCCUAGGUCGGAUUAGCUAGUUGGUGGGCUAAAGGCCUACCCAGGCGAUGAUCCGUAACUGGUCUGAGAGGAUCAGCAGUCACACUGGAAGUGAGACACGUUCCAGACUCCGACGGUAGGCAGCAGUGGGGAAUAUUGGACGAGGGAGGAGAGCCGGAUCCUGGAAAGUCGGGGGUGGGAAGAAGGACUCAGGAUGGGAAAGCGCUGUAGGUCGGGAGGAUGGGCAGUAAGUUUAUACCGUGCUGUUUUGACGUUACCGGAAGAAUAAGCACCGGCUAACUUCGUG
RNAcentral lists this ribosomal RNA (484 nucleotides) under uncultured bacterium. Its description in RNAcentral is "partial 16S ribosomal RNA". It matches the Rfam family "Bacterial small subunit ribosomal RNA", at positions 30 to 507 of the family's 1533-position model. The record is from RNAcentral.